GGUCUUCUUGUUCGCUUUUGAAAUAUCUAUAGACUAUGUCACUAUAGAAUUGAGUCAAUGACCUUAAAAGUCGUUAAAUUGAUAAUUAUGGUUUUGUAAUUUCCUAGUAACUGACUUUUCUUCGUUUACUCCAAAAAAAUAAUAUCCUCAACCAUUUGUGUGUGUGUGUACGAGAAUAGACAAAAUUUCAAUGUUGCUGGCGACAUACUAAAUGUUAUAUGCAAGAGAAUGCUUCACCGAUGAAU
This is a long non-coding RNA of Arabidopsis thaliana (thale cress), 245 nucleotides long. RefSeq annotates it as other RNA. The record is from RefSeq. Lineage: Eukaryota; Viridiplantae; Streptophyta; Magnoliopsida; Brassicales; Brassicaceae. The transcript has a single exon.